GCAGGAAGAGCAAGAAGAGCAAGAGGACCAGGAGGACCAGGAACACCAGGAGGAGGAGAAGAAGAAAUAAUGAGUGAUUGUGUCUACGUUUAUGGAAAGAGUUUAGUGGGGUAUUAAUGUUGCAUCUUUGAAGAAAUGUGUACUCAAAGAAUUCCUCAUGUAGAAUCUCACUGUGCUGUCAUCUGAGACUUCAAGUUCAUUACUGAAUCCAUGCUUCCUCUUCGCAUCAUGAGAAGAUCACUACAGAAGAGGAUCACCACACUUAGCUAGUGGUAUUGUAAAAAUCUCUUCAUUAAUGACUUUUAUUUUUGCUUGCUUGUGUAUAAAUUUGAAUGAAACAUUUAUAUUUUCUCAUUUUCUACAAUUUUCCUUAAAUCACCUUUACAUCUAACCAC
This is a long non-coding RNA of Mus pahari (shrew mouse), 395 nucleotides long. RefSeq lists it as uncharacterized. The record is from RefSeq and is a predicted model, not a curated record. Lineage: Eukaryota; Metazoa; Chordata; Mammalia; Rodentia; Muridae. The transcript is spliced from 3 exons.